Molecule: ribosomal RNA, 512 nt
Filed under: uncultured bacterium
Lineage: Bacteria
Description: partial 16S ribosomal RNA
Rfam family: Bacterial small subunit ribosomal RNA
Source: RNAcentral
GAUGAACGCUGGCGGCAUGCCUAAUACAUGCAAGUCGAACGAGAGGAAGGAAAGCUUGCUUUUCUGAAUCUAGUGGCGAACGGGUGAGUAACACGUAGGUAACCUGCCCAUGUGCCCGGGAUAACUUCUGGAAACGGAUGCUAAAACCGGAUAGGUAGCAGACAAGCAUUUGACUGCUAUUAAAGUGGCUAAGGCCAUGAACAUGGAUGGUCCUGCGGUGCAUUGGCUAGUUGGGGAGGGAACGGCCCACCAAGGCGACGAUGCAUAGCCGGCCUGAGAGGGCGGACGGCCACAUUGGGACUGAGACACGGCCCAAACUCCUACGGGAGGCAGCAGUAGGGAAUUUUCGUCAAUGGGGGGAACCCUGAACGAGCAAUGCCGCGUGAGUGAGGAAGGUCUUCGGAUCGUAAAGCUCUGUUGUAAGAGAAAAACGACAUUCAUAGGGGAUGAUGAGUGAGUGAUGGUAUCUUACCAGAAAGUCACGGCUAACUACGUGCCAGCCGCCGCUGUAA